AUUGAUCAAUAUCAAAGAAUUCCCAAAAAUCUCCUCAACAUCGGUCAGGUAAUAAUAUGCUCACAUAAGAUAAGCCUAAAGAAAGUAGAAAUGGAAACAAAUCUUAUUCCACAACUUCACUAUGCUCAACUACACAUAAAUUAUGAAGGUUCCAAAAUCCAAACUAAAUGUACGCACUUGAAUAACUUUUACUCUGGUGCAACAUAAAUCAGAGCCUCUCUAAUUAGCUCAGGUCAUAACAUGCUCAUGUAAACCUAAAGAAACUAGAAAUGGAAACAAAUCCUAUUCCACAACUUCACUAUGCUCAACUACACAUAAA
This 319-nucleotide unclassified non-coding RNA is filed under the name Hevea brasiliensis (rubber tree). Lineage: Eukaryota; Viridiplantae; Streptophyta; Magnoliopsida; Malpighiales; Euphorbiaceae. The record is from RNAcentral.